RNAcentral lists this ribosomal RNA (1042 nucleotides) under uncultured bacterium. RNAcentral's name for it is "bacterial SSU rRNA". It matches the Rfam family "Bacterial small subunit ribosomal RNA", at positions 28 to 1085 of the family's 1533-position model. The record is from RNAcentral.
AAUGAACGUUGGCGGCGUGGAUCAGACAUGCAAGUCGGACGAAUCUCACUUGGGUAACUGAGUGGGGGAAGUGGCGAAAGGGGCAGUAAUGUUUGGGUACCUACCUUGGGGUCUGGGAUAGCCUUCCUAACGGAAGGGUAAAACCGGGCGAUUUGGGAAACCAAGAAAGGCAACGCCUCAUGAGGGGCCCAAAUGGUAUUAGCUAAUUGGUGAGGUAACGGCUCACCAAGGCGAUGAUGCCUAGCGGGUGUGAGAGCACGACCCGCGCCAUUGGCACUGUGACACUGGCCAGACUCCUACGGGAGGCUGCAGUCGAGGAUCUUCGGCAAUGGGCGAAAGCCUGACCGAGCGACGCCGCGUGUGCGAUGAAGGCCUUUUGGUUGUAAAGCACUGUCGAAGGGGAGCAAGCCGCAAGGUUGAGAGUACCCUUGGAGGAAGCACGGGCUAAGUUCGUGCCAGCAGCCGCGGUAAGACGAACCGUGCGAACGUUAUUCGGAAUCACUGGGCUUAAAGGGUGCGUAGGCGGGUGGACAAGUCGAGGGUGAAAGCCUCUAGCUUAACUAGAGAAGUGCCCUCGAUACUGUUUGUCUUGAGAGAGAUAGGGGCACACGGAACUUCCGGUGGAGCGGUGAAAUGCGUAGAUAUCGGAAGGAACGCCGGUGGCGAAAGCGGUGUGCUGGAUCUUUUCUGACGCUGAGGCACGAAAGCUAGGGUAGCGAACGGGAUUAGAUACCCCGGUAGUCCUAGCCCUAAACGAUGAGUACUAGAUUGUGGACUGACAUGGGUUCACAGUCGAAGCAAAAGUAUUAAGUACUACGCCUGGGGAGUAUGGUCGCAAGGCUGAAACCCAAAGGAAUUGACGGGGGCUCACACAAGCGGUGGAGCAUGUGGCUUAAUUCGAGGCUACGCGAAGAACCUUACCUAGGCUUGACAUGGUAGAAGUAAUUCUGUGGAAACAUGGGAUGGCCGGUAUCCAAUCCGGAAGCUAUCACAGGUGCUGCAUGGCUGUCGUCAGCUCGUGUCGUGAGAUGUCGGGUUAAGU